RNAcentral lists this ribosomal RNA (478 nucleotides) under uncultured bacterium. RNAcentral's name for it is "partial 16S ribosomal RNA". It matches the Rfam family "Bacterial small subunit ribosomal RNA", at positions 28 to 523 of the family's 1533-position model. The record is from RNAcentral.
GACGAACGCUGGCGGCGUGCUUAACACAUGCAAGUCGAACGGUAAGGCCCUUCGGGGCACACGAGUGGCGAACGGGUGAGUAACACGUGGGUGAUCUGCCCUGCACUUCGGGAUAAGCCUGGGAAACUGGGUCUAAUACCGGAUAGGACUCCGGACUGCAUGGUCUGGGGUGGAAAGCUUUUGCGGUGUGGGAUGGGCCCGCGGCCUAUCAGCUUGUUGGUGGGGUGAUGGCCUACCAAGGCGACGACGGGUAGCCGGCCUGAGAGGGUGACCGGGCACACUGGGACUGAGAUACGGCCCAGACUCCUACGGGAGGCAGCAGUGGGGAAUAUUGCACACUGGGCGCAAGCCUGAUGCAGCGACGCCGCGUGAGGGAUGACGGCCUUCGGGUUGUAAACCUCUUUCAGCAUCGACGAAGCGAAAGUGACGGUAGGUGCAGAAGAAGGACCGGCCAACUACGUGCCAGCAGCCGCGGUAA